Molecule: ribosomal RNA, 465 nt
Filed under: Vreelandella stevensii
Lineage: Bacteria; Pseudomonadati; Pseudomonadota; Gammaproteobacteria; Oceanospirillales; Halomonadaceae
Description: partial 16S ribosomal RNA
Rfam family: Bacterial small subunit ribosomal RNA
Source: RNAcentral
CCUACGGGAGGCAGCAGUGGGGAAUAUUGGACAAUGGGGGCAACCCUGAUCCAGCCAUGCCGCGUGUGUGAAGAAGGCCCUCGGGUUGUAAAGCACUUUCAGUGAGGAAGAACGCCUGGUGGUUAAUACCCAUCAGGAAAGACAUCACUCACAGAAGAAGCACCGGCUAACUCCGUGCCAGCAGCCGCGGUAAUACGGAGGGUACGAGCGUUAAUCGGAAUUACUGGGCGUAAAGCGCGCGUAGGUGGCUUGAUAAGCCGGUUGUGAAAGCCCCGGGCUCAACCUGGGAACGGCAUCCGGAACUGUCAAGCUAGAGUGCAGGAGAGGAAGGUAGAAUUCCCGGUGUAGCGGUGAAAUGCGUAGAGAUCGGGAGGAAUACCAGUGGCGAAGGCGGCCUUCUGGACUGACACUGACACUGAGGUGCGAAAGCGUGGGUAGCAAACAGGAUUAGAUACCCGUGUAGUC